RNAcentral lists this long non-coding RNA (481 nucleotides) under Rattus norvegicus (Norway rat). Its description in RNAcentral is "long non-coding RNA NONRATT026279". Lineage: Eukaryota; Metazoa; Chordata; Mammalia; Rodentia; Muridae. The record is from RNAcentral.
UGGACCUUGGUUUGGGUGUAUGGUUCAUGGUGCGUGGAUUGUGUGUGUUUUCAGCCAUCUGUACUUACCCCGCCCCCAUUCCUGUCAGCGUUUAAAUCACUCAAAAUAUAAGGCAGGUCAGUGCAGCAUUCUUGGAUGAGAAUGUUGGUCUACACUUCACCACUUUCCCUUCCCAGGAAGAAGUCAGGAGUUGAAGGGCACAGAGCUCUGCACUCUGCCCUCUGCCAAAGUGAGAUACUCACGCUUCCAGGAAGAGAGCGUCCCCGUCUGUUAUUAGGAAGCCCAGCACCCAGCUGCAGGGCUCGUCCUCCUCCUCAUACAGAUCUUCCUCACGGGCAGGGACUCCGUCCUACAGGAACUGGGUUUCCUGUUCACAAACCUCAUUCAGCUACGUACAGUUGACUCCGUGAUUUAGAAGAAACCCGACUUGGUUUACUUUUAAUGUUAAUCUAUCAAAUUAAACAGAGCAGGUUGUCCUCAG